UACAGAGGGUGCGAGCGUUAAUCGGAAUUACUGGGCGUAAAGCGCGCGUAGGCGGCUUUGCAAGUCGGGUGUGAAAUCCCCAGGCUUAACCUGGGAACUGCAUUCGAGACUGCAUUGCUAGAGUAUGGGAGAGGGAAGUGGAAUUUCCGGUGUAGCGGUGAAAUGCGUUAGAUAUCGGAGGAACAUCAGUGGCGAAAGCGACUUCCUGGACCAAUACUGACGCUCAUGUGCGAAAGCGUGGGGAGCAAACAGG
This 253-nucleotide ribosomal RNA is filed under the name uncultured bacterium. RNAcentral's name for it is "partial 16S ribosomal RNA". It matches the Rfam family "Bacterial small subunit ribosomal RNA", at positions 524 to 776 of the family's 1533-position model. The record is from RNAcentral.